GUGCAUGUUAACCAAGAGCUGUGGCUUAGCAAAUAGCCACUGGGUCUCCAACAACAUGCGAGAGCAUGGCGGGGGGACUUUGACUCUUCAGGCUUGGUUAUCUGGGGAUGUCACUCGACCCUCCUAUAUUG
Small nucleolar RNA from Sphaerodactylus townsendi, 131 nucleotides. RefSeq annotates it as small nucleolar RNA SNORA44. The transcript has a single exon. The record is from RefSeq and is a predicted model, not a curated record. Lineage: Eukaryota; Metazoa; Chordata; Lepidosauria; Squamata; Sphaerodactylidae.